GUGAGCUCAACAGAGGACCAAGAGCUGGAUGCUUGAAAAAUCCGAAGGCUGUUGGACCAAAUGUCACAAUUGCAGUGAAGGGACAGAACCUAUCCUCAACGCCCAAUGAGGAUGUUAGUGCAGUACUCCCAGACAAGGAGCAGUAUAACAGUGAAGACUUCCCUGAAAAAUAUACAAAUGCAAAGUUCUAUAUCAUCAAAUCAUACAGCGAGGAUGACGUUCAUAAAAGUAUCAAGUAUGGUG
This 243-nucleotide unclassified non-coding RNA is filed under the name Hevea brasiliensis (rubber tree). Lineage: Eukaryota; Viridiplantae; Streptophyta; Magnoliopsida; Malpighiales; Euphorbiaceae. The record is from RNAcentral.